Molecule: long non-coding RNA, 674 nt
Filed under: Triticum aestivum (bread wheat)
Lineage: Eukaryota; Viridiplantae; Streptophyta; Magnoliopsida; Poales; Poaceae
Description: long non-coding RNA (TAES_LNC016743)
Source: RNAcentral
AUUGGUAGGAGUGUUUGAUACACCUCUUAUCUGCUCGCAUGGCUUCUCUGUGGAACAUCUUGCAACCGUUUUGAUCUGAGAAUUACCAGAAACAUCACCCACAGUUGGUUUUGAUGAGGUUGGCAGUGGCUUGAUUUUCUCUUUGACCUGAGAAUUACCAGAAACAUCACCGACAGUUGGUUUUGAUGACGUUGACAGUGGCUUGAUUUUCUCUUUGAUCUGAGAAUUACCAGAAACAUCACCGACAGUUGGUUUUGAUGAGGUUGGCAGUGGCUUGAUUUUCUCUUUGAUCUGAGAAUUACCAGAAACAUCACCAACAGUUGGUUUUGAUGACGUCGACAGUGGCUUGAUUUUCUCUUUGAUCUGAGAAUUACCAGAAACAUCACCGACAGUUGGUUUUGAUGACGUCGACAGUGGCUUGAUUUUCUCUUUGAUCUGAGAAUUACAAGAAACAUCACCGGCAGUUGGUUUUGAUGAGGUUGACAGUGGCUUGAUUUUCUCUUUGAUCUGAGAAUUACCAGAAACAUCACCGACAGUUGGUUUUGAUGAGGUUGACAGUGGCUUGAUUUUCUCUUUCCCUGAACCAACUCCCUUGGAGAAAGGAAAGCUGCGCCGACUGGUCUGGUCAUUGUUACAGCUAGAUAAUUUUCUGCGCUUUGACACUGGGGAUAAAU